UAGUACACAAUAAUGUUAAAGGUCUAGAAAAAUAUUCAGCUAAGGGUCAAAUUCCAAAACGGAAUCUUAGCAAGAAUCUUUGUUCUUUUACACAUUUCUUGGCUUCUAAGAAUCAAAAUUUUUUUCCAGGACAAAUUCUUGACAGAGUUUAAAACACACAUGAUGUCUUCACUGGAAAAGUUUUCAGUUUGUACAAUAUAAAACAUUUUAAAUUUGUGCAAAACAACUGCACUCAAGGCUAUGGCUUUGGGAGGCAGCUUGUUAAUCACCAAGUCCUACAAAUUGCAUUGAAAUUCUGCUGGAUGCUGAACUUUAGUGGAUACUGGUAACUUUGCUCCUCCAUUGAAAGUAACUGUGUUUUUUUUGAAAGAGGGAGGGGCGGUCUAGCUUAAAAAUUAUCAAGUGUUAUAAUAGGUUAGAGUUUCUGAAGCUUAAAACGCUUUCUUUAGAAAGAACAUCUAUUAAUACAGUUUCUAAGUUAUGAGGGCUAAGGUCUAAAGGACAAACCAAAGGAAUGACAGGGGAAGGGGAUUUAGGGCUAACAGGUGGUCCCCAGACAUAUUGGCUGGAAGAGAGUUCACAGCUAAAGUGUCAUAUGUGGGUGUUACUGUGCUUUCAUCAUCCAUAUUUUCUGUAGGGAGUCAUUCUGGAACAUUCAUAGUUUUAGCUAUGGCCAUUAGAAGUGACUUCAACAGGACCUUCAGAAGAAUAGCCCAUCUCUUUUACUGGUUCCCCAAAUCACUGACCUGCUCAAAGAAUCGGAAAUCCAAGUUGGUGUGGAGCCAAGGGAGCCAAGGUAGAGAGGGUAAAUAUAUAUGUCAUUCUUACUGCCGAGACCUGGUUCAUCUGGAUUAUCCCCCAAAUGGGAAAUUACCAAGCCGCGUGCCAGCUUGUGAAGUAAGACGCUCAAGCGAAAAGCACACUCAGGGCUUAUUUUGGUGUCUUCCCAGAAACUGAUGUUUUGUGGCUGAUGGGUGAGGAGGACAGAUGUUUCAGCUUGGCCUUUUCUCCUUGAUAUUCCUCAUCUGGGCACCAUCCUAGUAUCAAGGGACAAACAAGCUGAACUCAACACCAUCACUUGACCUCAUUUCUGAUUUAUGAAUUCUCCUGCGACCAUGCAAUUGGAGAAGAAGGCAGGCUCUGAAGUGUGUUUUGAAUUUUAAUAUCUUUUCAUACUGGCCUCUUUUUCUGUCAGCCACCAUGUGUGUGCGUCUGCCUUAACUUGCUGACUAGAAAAUUGAAACAUACUUCUAGCCAGCAGCCAGGAACAAAGGGAAAAAUUGUCUAAAGAGCUAUUUAGCUGCCUGCAUUGCCCUCCACCCCACCCCACCCCACCCCCGCCAACACCCCCUCACUUAUAUGAACAACCUUCACAAGAAUCUAAGCUGCUUUUGUAUUAAUGUCAGUCAUGGCCUUUCUCACAGGGUUCUGUGAGCACUGAAACAGUAAGGAUUCUGCCAUCUUGGGUGUGUGUGGGGGGGGUACUGUUCCGAGGGAGGAGGAGCUUGAGGGUGUCUCCCAUCAUCUGGCAAGCCAGAUUCCACGUGAAAAGAAGUAUCUAGAAACUGGCUCAAGGUUAUGUCCUUUUCACUCUGUCUGCUUCCUGGCUCCUUGGAAGACAGUCAGGAUGGCUUCAAGGAAUUGGCAGUGACUUCAUCUGAAAGCAUUUUCCUGAAACAUGUAAAUAUUUAUGCCUUAGAGGACGCUCUGACUCCAGAAAGGCUGACCCCAGUGGUGCUCUGUGGAGGUAAAGUAGAACCCACAGAACAUGCUCUGGGGCAACAAAGUCUCACCUACCUGUCAAGAGAAUUUUGAAUUCCAGUGACAGGAACGAUCCAUAACAGGAAAGU
This is a long non-coding RNA of Mustela erminea (ermine), 1850 nucleotides long. RefSeq lists it as uncharacterized. Lineage: Eukaryota; Metazoa; Chordata; Mammalia; Carnivora; Mustelidae. The record is from RefSeq and is a predicted model, not a curated record. The transcript is spliced from 3 exons.